RNA transcript from Zea mays, 7252 nucleotides. It is a transcript of the gene named putative DUF231 domain containing family protein, with no coding region annotated. The record is from RefSeq and is marked validated. The transcript has 5 exons. Lineage: Eukaryota; Viridiplantae; Streptophyta; Magnoliopsida; Poales; Poaceae.
CAUACUAGCGAAGCCCACAAAUGAUAAUGGCACGCGCGAAACCUGACCGCACCAAACGCGGGUCGCAACUCGCAAUCGCAACGCACCGCGCGGCGCUGCCGCAUCGAGAGUUUUUUUUUUUGCCGUUCUGCUUUUAGGGUUAGCGGCCCGCCCCGGUGAUCGCGGGAGAAGGGAGCAUCUGUCGCCGGAGUUUGGUGAGUGCCUGGUCUGCCCUGGUGCCCUGGCACCCUGCAUCGGCUGUCGUUGUAUUUGUCUUCCCACGACCGACUCAGAGCUCCCUGAUCUCAAGAUCUCGAGAGCUGCGCGCGGACUUUGGGUUGGAGCCGUGCGUAUCGAUCCAACUCCAUCCGCCGGGCAAAUUUGAGUCAGGAGGAAGGAUAUUCAUCGGCGCUUCUGAAUUGGGAGGACGCAGCGCAUACGAGAUUCGAUGAGAUUUUGUUGGGACACAGUUUCGCCGUGAAUUGGUUAGGAGCCGAUUUGGCAACAGGGAAGCUCUCGAAUGGGAGAUCCAGCGGCGGCAGUGGCGGCGGAGGGGAGAUGGUGAGCGGAAGCUUUAGCCGGAGCACAUCCGCGCGGCUCACGUCGAGGGGUGGAGUCGGGAGCCCGCGUGUCUCGACUCCUGGAGCCGUGCACCGGAACUGGUGGCCGCCGGCGCCGUCGGGGCCGUCGUUCGAUCGCGUCGUCUUGGCCUUUUUCCUGGCCUCCGUCGCGCUCGUGCUCUCCUGCGCUCUCUACCUCUACGUAUUCCGGUACUUGGGCCGGAGCCGUGUGGUCGCGGAGUUCGCCGGCGAGAAUCUCGAGUCCUGCGACGUGUUCGACGGCGUCUGGGUGCCGGAUCAGAGGCACCCCUUGUACAACAGUUCGCAGUGCCCAUUUGCAGAGAGGGGGUUCAAUUGCCUGGCCAAUGGGCGGAAGGACACCGAGUACCUCAAGUGGCGGUGGAAGCCUCGGGGAUGCGAUUUGCCGCGGUUCAGUGCCCGGGCUCUGUUGCAGUGGCUGAGAGGGAAGAGGGUCGUGUUUGUGGGGGACUCCAUGAGUCGAACGCAGUGGGAGUCCUUCAUUUGCAUGCUCAUGACAGGGGUGGAUGAUCCAGAGACGGUUUAUGAGGUUAAUGGCAACCAGAUCUCAAAGACAAUCCAGUUUUUAGGAGUGAGAUUUGAGUCCUUCAACCUCAGUGUGGAGUUCUUCCGGUCCGUUUUCCUUGUGCAGCAGAUCCCUGCGCUUCGCCAUGGGCGCAGAAGGGUCCGUGCCAUCCUGAAGCUUGAUAAGUUGGAUGGUUUAAGUCAGGAAUGGGUGAACUCAGAUGUUCUUAUUUUCAACUCAGGGCAUUGGUGGACUGCCAGCAAAUUAUUUGACAUGGGUUGCUAUUUUGAGGCUGGAGGUGUGCUUAAACUGGGAACAUCCAUUAAUGCUGCUUUCAAAAUGGCAUUGGAAACUUGGGCUUCAUGGGUGAAAGAGAGAAUUGAUUUAAGGCGAACACAUGUAUUCUUCCGUACAUAUGAACCGUCUCAUUGGAGUGGCUUAAAUCAAAAGGUGUGUGAAGUAACACAACAACCUACCGCUGAGGCCAAUGGAAAUGACAGGAGAGAAUUUGGGGAUAUACUUGCUGGUGUUGUGGCAAAUAUGAGUGUCCCUGUGACAGUACUAAAUGUGACUUUGAUGGGGGCCUUUAGAAGUGAUGCUCAUAUUGGACUUUGGAGUCAUCCUAAUACCAUACUAGAUUGCAGCCACUGGUGCCUUCCAGGAGUUCCUGAUGCUUGGAAUGAGCUUGUAUUUUCGCACCUUUUGACUAAUGUGACCUUGUUGCCAUCUCCAGCCAGGUCUGCUGAGAAGUUGAUCGGUGUGGAAGUCUAAGACGGAUGAAUUACACAAAUGAAGGGGUGAAUCUACCUGAAAUCGAUCAUUUGGAGACUCCUCCAAUUGGGAGUCCUCAAUUGUCCAAGAAGCUCAUAGUUUAUUCAAGAAAGAGGUUCAUCAAAAAGAAUAUCUCAUAAAACAAGGAUGAAGAAAUGAAGGGGCCUCGAUCUCCAAGUGCAUCAGUGUUGGGGGGUACAGGUUUGAAUGUGGGUCUGAACGCUACUGAAGAAAAUGCAGUGACAACGGUUCAGGAGACUGAGUUCAGUUCAGCCGCUAGCGUUGAUGCUAUUCAGUUAGCUCCACAGGCGGCUGAAACGAACAUUCUUUCAUAUGUGCAUAAACAAUUCUUUGACAAACUUGCCAAAGAGGUCUCCAGCCUUCUUGCAACACCUGAUGAUCCUUCUUUGACGUUGAAGAGUGCCCAAUCUUCUGCUGUUAUCCCACAGCGCAGUUGUCGACUUGCGGGGGUGGGGGUUCAAUAUGACAAGCAGGAUUUAUGCUCAAGGUUCACUAAAAGAGUCAUGAAGGCCCUGAAAGUGAUUGGGGACUCGGAGGGAAUCAGCCAACAAGCCAUAGAAGACUAUCUGAAAGUUUUCUCUAAAGAAUUGCCUCUUUCUCAUGUUGAAGCAUUGGCAGCAUUCUUUGGUUGGGCGGUGCCGGAUGAAUUAAAGAUAGGCAGUAGCCAGUAGCAUCAAUGUCAUUGCUGCUUGUUAAUUCUCCUGCCCUGAUGUAGUUGAUGUAAAAUCUGUUAAAUGGACCCAAAGAAAAUUUUUAGUUGGAAUGUAAGGGGCCUUAAUUCUGCAUCUAGGCAGAGUUCAGUUAGAACCUUUAUUGAAUCCUGUGCUGCAGAUUUAGUAUUGUCCUCAGGAAACCAAAAUGCAAAGAAUCAAUAAAGGAAAGGUGUUGGCUAUUUUGGGAGCAGAUUUUGAUCAAUUCAUUUCUUUACCAUCUGCUGGGGCUAGUGGAGGUAUUCUGGUAUCAUGGAGAAGACAUAUAAAGUUGACAGAGCUAAAUUGAGUGGAUGCUUAUAAUGUCUCAGUGCAAUUUCAGAAACCUAAUGGUCAACCCUGUUGGUUAACUUGUGUCUAUGAGCCUCGAAGUAAUGAUGAAAAGAUCCUUUUUCUACAAGAGUUAAGGCAAAUCAGAAGUACAUGUCUUGAUCCAUGGGUUGUAGGAGGAGAUUUCAAUCUAAUAUACAAAGUGGAGGACAAGAAUAAUGACAAUGUGAACAGAGCAAUGAUGGGCCAAUUUAGGAAGUUUACAAAUGAUGUCGGUCUUAUUGAUGUUCCCCUCAUUGGUAGCAAAUAGACGUGGUCUAACCACCAAAUUUCGCCAACGUUGGUCAGACUAGAUAGAGCUCUUUGCACUUCUGAUUUAGAGGCUAUGUUACCUAAUCAUCUUCUUUAGAGUGCUGUGUAUGAGGACUCAGAUCAUUGCCCACUGAUUCUUGGGCUUAACAGUAAGUGUUCUGGCAAGCGUAGAUUCAUGUGGCUUAAUAGUAAGUUUAUCAAGGUUGGAGUGAUAAAAAGGUAGGUCAUGUGGCUUCCCAGCUGGCCCUUGCUAGAGAAAUCCUGCAUCAAUUUGAAGUUGCUCAAGAUUUUCGGCUCUUGUCUCCAAUGGUAGAUUGGCUUAUGAGGGGUCUUAAAAAGCAUUCACUAGCCCUUGCUUCCCUCAAGGGUACCAUUGCCCGUUUGAGAUCAAGAAUCAGCUGGAUUAAGGAGGGUGAUGCCAAUUCCGAAUUUUUUCAUAUGCAUGCUAGAUACAGAAAAAGGAAGAAUUUUGUCGCCAAACUUGUCUCGGGUAGUGACACAUACACUGAUCAUGAUGAGAAGGCCAAAGCGAUGGAUGGGUUUUAUUGUAAGCUUUUGGGCUGCAGGGUGGACAAAUCCAUGACUGUUGACCUGGACUUCUUGGGUUUACCCUCUCAUGACUUGACUGAUUUGGAUGCAUCGAUCUAUGAAAAGGAGGUUCUUGAAUCUAUAAAGAAGCAACCAUCAUACAAGGCGCCAGGUCCAGAUGGGUUCAUACUUCAUAGGAAGGUUUUAUAAAGUGUGUUGGCCAAUUAUCAAAGGGGAUGCGAUGGCUGUUAUUUCUGCAAUUUGGAGCAGGAACUUUGGGAAAUUUGGUAGGUUAAAUACAACUUUUGUAACUCUUAUCCCUAAGAAGGAGGGGAAAGGAUUUUCGACCUAUCAGUUUAGCGCACAGUAUCUCCAAGGUUGUCACCAAAUUGAUGGCUAACAGACUGUCCCAUAAGCUGCAUGAUUUAGUUUCCCUAAGGCACAACACUUUUAUUAAAGAUUGUUUCAUCCAGGACAACUUCAUGAUGAUACAACAAAUUGCCAGAUUGCUUCAUCAACAAAGAAAGCCAAGGGCACUUCUGAAGCUAGACAUCACCAAAGCCUUUGAUUUCGUCUCUUGGCCUUUAUUUCUUGAUGUAAGGGGCCUUAAUUCUGCAUCUAGGCAGAGUUCAGUUAGAACCUUUAUUGAAUCCUGUGCUGCAGAUUUAGUAUUGUCCUCAGAAAAUUUUUAGUUGGAAUGUAAGGGGCCUUAAUUCUGCAUCUAGGCAGAGUUCAGUUAGAACCUUUAUUGAAUCCUGUGCUGCAGAUUUAGUAUUGUCCUCAGGAAACCAAAAUGCAAAGAAUCAAUAAAGGAAAGGUGUUGGCUAUUUUGGGAGCAGAUUUUGAUCAAUUCAUUUCUUUACCAUCUGCUGGGGCUAGUGGAGGUAUUCUGGUAUCAUGGAGAAGACAUAUAAAGUUGACAGAGCUAAAUUGAGUGGAUGCUUAUAAUGUCUCAGUGCAAUUUCAGAAACCUAAUGGUCAACCCUGUUGGUUAACUUGUGUCUAUGAGCCUCGAAGUAAUGAUGAAAAGAUCCUUUUUCUACAAGAGUUAAGGCAAAUCAGAAGUACAUGUCUUGAUCCAUGGGUUGUAGGAGGAGAUUUCAAUCUAAUAUACAAAGUGGAGGACAAGAAUAAUGACAAUGUGAACAGAGCAAUGAUGGGCCAAUUUAGGAAGUUUACAAAUGAUGUCGGUCUUAUUGAUGUUCCCCUCAUUGGUAGCAAAUAGACGUGGUCUAACCACCAAAUUUCGCCAACGUUGGUCAGACUAGAUAGAGCUCUUUGCACUUCUGAUUUAGAGGCUAUGUUACCUAAUCAUCUUCUUUAGAGUGCUGUGUAUGAGGACUCAGAUCAUUGCCCACUGAUUCUUGGGCUUAACAGUAAGUGUUCUGGCAAGCGUAGAUUCAUGUGGCUUAAUAGUAAGUUUAUCAAGGUUGGAGUGAUAAAAAGGUAGGUCAUGUGGCUUCCCAGCUGGCCCUUGCUAGAGAAAUCCUGCAUCAAUUUGAAGUUGCUCAAGAUUUUCGGCUCUUGUCUCCAAUGGUAGAUUGGCUUAUGAGGGGUCUUAAAAAGCAUUCACUAGCCCUUGCUUCCCUCAAGGGUACCAUUGCCCGUUUGAGAUCAAGAAUCAGCUGGAUUAAGGAGGGUGAUGCCAAUUCCGAAUUUUUUCAUAUGCAUGCUAGAUACAGAAAAAGGAAGAAUUUUGUCGCCAAACUUGUCUCGGGUAGUGACACAUACACUGAUCAUGAUGAGAAGGCCAAAGCGAUGGAUGGGUUUUAUUGUAAGCUUUUGGGCUGCAGGGUGGACAAAUCCAUGACUGUUGACCUGGACUUCUUGGGUUUACCCUCUCAUGACUUGACUGAUUUGGAUGCAUCGAUCUAUGAAAAGGAGGUUCUUGAAUCUAUAAAGAAGCAACCAUCAUACAAGGCGCCAGGUCCAGAUGGGUUCAUACUUCAUAGGAAGGUUUUAUAAAGUGUGUUGGCCAAUUAUCAAAGGGGAUGCGAUGGCUGUUAUUUCUGCAAUUUGGAGCAGGAACUUUGGGAAAUUUGGUAGGUUAAAUACAACUUUUGUAACUCUUAUCCCUAAGGAGGGGAAAGGAUUUUCGACCUAUCAGUUUAGCGCACAGUAUCUCCAAGGUUGUCACCAAAUUGAUGGCUAACAGACUGUCCCAUAAGCUGCAUGAUUUAGUUUCCCUAAGGCACAACACUUUUAUUAAAGAUUGUUUCAUCCAGGACAACUUCAUGAUGAUACAACAAAUUGCCAGAUUGCUUCAUCAACAAAGAAAGCCAAGGGCACUUCUGAAGCUAGACAUCACCAAAGCCUUUGAUUUCGUCUCUUGGCCUUUAUUUCUUGAUGUUCUUCGGAAACUUGGAUUUGGACAGAUUUGGAGAGAUAUCUUAAGUGGGUUAUUGGCCACUUCAUCCACACAAGUUCUCCUCAACGGAGUUCCAGGGAUGUUAUUAAUCAUAAGAGGGGGUUGAGGCAAGGGGAUCCUCUUUCAUCUAUGCUUUUUAUAUUGGUAAUGGACAUCCUUGGGUGCCUUGUUACUAAAGCGGAAGAGGAGGGACUGCUGCAACCUCUCUCCUCCAAACCCAUACAACACAUGCUGAUGACACGUUUUUAUUUUUUCAUCCAAGGGAGAAUGAAAUACAUAUUGUGCUCAAUAUUUUGAAGCUAUUCAGAGAAGCUUCAGGUUUGAAAACUAAUAUUCAGAAGAGUAGUUUUUAUCCCAUACAAUGUGGUGAUGAGGAUUUGAUAACCCUACAGGAUCAGCUUCCAUGUGAGCUCAUAUUUUCUCAGUAAAUACCUUGCCCUGCCUCUAUCUUAAAAAAACUGUCCAGAAUUCAGGUGCAACCCAUUAUUGACAGAGUGGCUGAUCCAAUGUUUGGUUGGAAAGCGGAUCUAAUGACAAGGGCUACGAAAGGAGUGCAGGUCGCUAGGUCCAAUAUGUGAUGAUAGGCAUGCUCAUUUAUUUAGCCUUAGCAGUUGACAUACCCCCAGGAUCACUCAAGGCUAUUGACAAGAUCAGAAAAGGCUUUCUCUACCGUGGAAGGAAAGAUGUUACAGGAGGACAUUGUUUAGUGGCUUGGGGCAGAGUUGGCGAGUGCCGGCUAGCUGACUAUUGACAUGGUAUAUCUUUUUCCCCCCUGCUUUGUAGUUUCUUCUUUCUUUUGCUGCAAGAAUCCUCGUGGGCAGCAGCAUCUUCCAUCAGGUUGUGUUAUGUUUUCACUUUUUUUCCCUCGAUCACACAGGACUGCACAUCUCCUUGGACAUAAAGUUUUGUACUCCCUCCGUCCCAAAUUAAAAUUCGUUUUACUAUUUUAGUAGAUUCAUACAAUAAUAAAUGUAUGUGUUCUAUAUAUAUGUAUAGAUUCAUUAUCAUCUAUAUGAAUAUAGACAUAAAAAUCUAGAGAUAGAGCUAAAAAUGACUAUGGUUUUGGAUCGGAGGAGAAUCUUUUUCUCUUUUGUCUGUUUCGGCAUAGAAACACAUCACAACUGGGAACCUGUAUGUAACAAGAGUUCAUUUGCAAAAACUUUGGAAAUUCACAGGACGCAUUUCUGCA